CCAGACAGACGUUUUUCUCAGGAAUACCGCAGUUAACAGCUAUCUUCACACAUCAUCAUCACACCCAGUAUCAACGAUUAACGCCAUACCUACAGGGGAUACAGCAACAGGAGCAUCAAAAAAGCACAUGUGCGAGCAAAGAGUGUAAACAGACGUCUACUCCUACAACCAAGUAAUCGAAAUACAGAUAACAAUCAGAUACAUCUUCAGCGAUAUUGCAUACAUGCAUUAUGUGUAUCUGAGCAUCCUGGACGAAGAUGGCCACACCAUACAAUCGGACCAUAUACUUUGGGACAAUCGUUCCGGUUUAUUGUUCUUUC
Hyla sarda is the source of this 320-nucleotide long non-coding RNA. RefSeq lists it as uncharacterized. NCBI's taxonomy places the organism in Eukaryota, Metazoa, Chordata, Amphibia, Anura, Hylidae. The transcript is spliced from 3 exons. The record is from RefSeq and is a predicted model, not a curated record.